Populus trichocarpa (black cottonwood) is the source of this 156-nucleotide non-coding RNA. The record is from Rfam. NCBI's taxonomy places the organism in Eukaryota, Viridiplantae, Streptophyta, Magnoliopsida, Malpighiales, Salicaceae.
UCUAGAACUCGAGAUAUGGGCUGAACAAUGAACAAUGUCUUGGCUGCAGGAUAAAUUCUGACUUCUAUUUUGUUGCUACAAUUUGAACUUGAAAACAACCAUUUUGAAUCUUGGACUCUUCAUGAAAGUUUUAGGUCUAUGUCUUAGCUUUCCAUC